This is a long non-coding RNA of Zea mays, 2090 nucleotides long. RefSeq lists it as uncharacterized. NCBI's taxonomy places the organism in Eukaryota, Viridiplantae, Streptophyta, Magnoliopsida, Poales, Poaceae. The record is from RefSeq and is a predicted model, not a curated record. The transcript has 4 exons.
ACCGAACAAGUACUAAUAAGAUUUAGUGUCAGGAAGCUUCCACCGGAUGUGUUGCUACUCCCGGUGUUUGGCGGCGCUCAAUCACCAAAGGUUCUGACACCACGUUGGACUCCCCUUCCUCCUCGUCCGCGACCUCCGCAGGGUGGCUGUUGCACUUGCACCUGCACCGUAGUGGGGAUUCCAGCUUCCACCACUGCCCCCCGUCCCCGUCCCGGCGCCGGCAGUAGCUCGGAGGCCGGGACCACGCUCGGUGGCGUGUCGUACGUCAGCACGCCCAUCCCGACGACGACGCGUUCGAUUCAGGCGGCGACAAAUACCUGCUGGCCAAGACCUAUUUCGACUGCCGGGAGUACCGCCGCGCCGAGCACGUGCUGCAGAACCAGGUCGGUCGUAAGGCUGUGUUCCUGCGAUGCUACGCCUUCUGCAUGAGUGCAUGUCUGGAGGGAAGCGGAAAAUGCUGUUAAUCAGGAACUAGUUGCUUUGGAGAAAGAGCUCUCAACACACCGAAGAACUGGCUCUAUUGAUUCGUUUGGACUUUACUUGUAUGGCAUUGUCCUACAUGAUAAAGGAUGUGAAGGUCUAACUCGAAAGAUCUUGGUAGAACCUGUCAAUAGCUAUCCUUGGAACUGGAGUGCUUGGUCAGAGCUACAAACUUUAUGCACCAGCAGUGACAUUUUAAACAAAUUAAAUCUGAAGAAUCGCUGGAUGAAAGACUUCUUUCUUGCUAGUGCAUAUCUGGAACUAGAGACGCAUGAAGAAGACUUCUUUCUUGCUAGUGCAGAUUCUUUCUUUGGCUUGUCUUGCACAAUAGAUGCUGGACCGCAGACCGUCUUGCUAAAAGAGGACUUUCCCAUCCCAGUGCGUGUCCCCUUUGUGACCAAGAAGAGGAAACAAUACAACAUCUUUUCAUCUCUUGCGUCUUUGCAAGACAGUUCUGGUACUUCUUGUUGAGCAGGUCUGGGUUGCCUAAUCUUUCACCGGACAACGCUUUUUGCAGCCUAGAUGACUGGUGGAGCAGGGCUGUGGAGAAGAUUCCCCGUGAUCUCCAAUCAGGAGAAGGAGACUGCUAAAAAUAUAUUGCAAGGGAUAAAAAUGUUACAGUCAGGAUUUCCAUCAAUGGAUAUUGACCAUUUUGCACUGUAAAGUCCACCCGCAGAUAAGUUGGAACAUUGGACAGUAAGUGUCAAGAAGUCAAUAGCCAAAAAGCCAACAGCCGGAAGUCAAAAGCUAGCUUCGAGCCAAAAUCCCAAAACUGCAGUACAAACAAACAGGCCCUGAAGGGAAUGAUUCUAACGAGGGCUGCCCAACUGAUGGAAGCUCAAUUGCACAUCUCGAUCGGGAAUUACUUCCAAUCUUCGGUCACAGGCUCACAGCGUGAUGCUUAUUGUUUGUAUCCUCGUCACGAGACUCCAUGCUGCUGGAUACGAUGACCUACCGCGCAUGAUGCUGGCUCGUAGUUCCUGGAGCUUGGCAACAAGGAGAACCAGGCGCCUACAUGGCGCGAAGAUGAGCGUCAUUGGAAUGAGCCAGACCCCUAAUGCAAGUAUCAACAUAGCUGUCUUCUGUGAGUAGAGCUCUAAAUAUCUGCGGGUUUGGCUUCCUUCACCGGACAGCUAUCUGGAUAGUGUUCUCCCCAUGGUUGCUUGCAUAUAUAAGCUUCAUUGGAAGACCUUGCCUUGCCUUGCGUGCAAUGUGCAUGUCAAAUUAUUGGUUAUCUGUUUAUCAGCACACUUGUCCAAUGCCUUACCUUUGACAUUUCGUAAAACUAAGCACUGCAGAUUUUAAAAUAAAAGGCUAGAGUGUAGGGCAACGGUGUGGUAGUACUUUGCACAGUGUGCAUGAUGUGCUACUGGAAUAAAACAAGUCUGUUUAGUGAUGAUGCGCGAUGCAAGUUGUCAUUUUAGCCUACGUCAGGAUCGCGUGCUGCUGGUUUCUCACCCUAUUAGGUUUGGUUUAUGUACUCUAGUGUUUACCCCAAUUUUUUUUGCAUGUAUUGAGCUAGAUUAGAGUGUUUACCAUAAUUUUUUACAUGUAUUGAGCUGGAUAAGAGUGUAAACCAAUCCAUUUCAACACAUGUGGAUUGAGAUGAA